RNAcentral lists this ribosomal RNA (253 nucleotides) under uncultured bacterium. Its description in RNAcentral is "partial 16S ribosomal RNA". It matches the Rfam family "Bacterial small subunit ribosomal RNA", at positions 524 to 776 of the family's 1533-position model. The record is from RNAcentral.
AACGUAGGGGGCGAGCGUUAUCCGGAAUCACUGGGCGUAAAGGGCGUCUAGGCGGCACAUUAAGUCUUGCGUGAAAUCUCCUGGCUCAACUAGGAGAGUGCGUGAGAAACUGGUGAGCUAGAGACGUGGAGGGGUGCACGGAAUUCCUGGUGGAGUGGUGGAAUGCGUUGAGAUCGGGAGGAACACCAGAAGCGAAGGCGGUGCACUGGCCACGGACUGACGCUGAAGCGCGACAGCGUGGGGAGCGAACGGG